UUGAAGAGUUUGAUCAUGGCUCAGAUUGAACGCUGGCGGCAGGCCUAACACAUGCAAGUCGAGCGGUAGCACAGAGAGCUUGCUCUCGGGUGACGAGCGGCGGACGGGUGAGUAAUGUCUGGGAAACUGCCUGAUGGAGGGGGAUAACUACUGGAAACGGUAGCUAAUACCGCAUAACGUCGCAAGACCAAAGAGGGGGGGGGGACCUUCGGGCCUCUUGCCAUCAGAUGUGCCCAGAUGGGAUUAGCUAGUAGGUGGGGUAACGGCUCACCUAGGCGACGAUCCCUAGCUGGUCUGAGAGGAUGACCAGCCACACUGGAACUGAGACACGGUCCAGACUCCUACGGGAGGCAGCAGUGGGGAAUAUUGCACAAUGGGCGCAAGCCUGAUGCAGCCAUGCCGCGUGUAUGAAGAAGGCCUUCGGGUUGUAAAGUACUUUCAGCGGGGAGGAAGGCGAUAAGGUUAAUAACCUUGUCGAUUGACGUUACCCGCAGAAGAAGCACCGGCUAACUCCGUGCCAGCAGCCGCGGUAAUACGGAGGGUGCAAGCGUUAAUCGGAAUUACUGGGCGUAAAGCGCACGCAGGCGGUCUGUCAAGUCGGAUGUGAAAUCCCCGGGCUCAACCUGGGAACUGCAUUCGAAACUGGCAGGCUAGAGUCUUGUAGAGGGGGGUAGAAUUCCAGGUGUAGCGGUGAAAUGCGUAGAGAUCUGGAGGAAUACCGGUGGCGAAGGCGGCCCCCUGGACAAAGACUGACGCUCAGGUGCGAAAGCGUGGGGAGCAAACAGGAUUAGAUACCCUGGUAGUCCACGCCGUAAACGAUGUCGACUUGGAGGUUGUGCCCUUGAGGCGUGGCUUCCGGAGCUAACGCGUUAAGUCGACCGCCUGGGGAGUACGGCCGCAAGGUUAAAACUCAAAUGAAUUGACGGGGGCCCGCACAAGCGGUGGAGCAUGUGGUUUAAUUCGAUGCAACGCGAAGAACCUUACCUACUCUUGACAUCCAGAGAACUUUCCAGAGAUGGAUUGGUGCCUUCGGGAACUCUGAGACAGGUGCUGCAUGGCUGUCGUCAGCUCGUGUUGUGAAAUGUUGGGUUAAGUCCCGCAACGAGCGCAACCCUUAUCCUUUGUUGCCAGCGGUUAGGCCGGGAACUCAAAGGAGACUGCCAGUGAUAAACUGGAGGAAGGUGGGGAUGACGUCAAGUCAUCAUGGCCCUUACGAGUAGGGCUACACACGUGCUACAAUGGCGCAUACAAAGAGAAGCGACCUCGCGAGAGCAAGCGGACCUCAUAAAGUGCGUCGUAGUCCGGAUUGGAGUCUGCAACUCGACUCCAUGAAGUCGGAAUCGCUAGUAAUCGUAGAUCAGAAUGCUACGGUGAAUACGUUCCCGGGCCUUGUACACACCGCCCGUCACACCAUGGGAGUGGGUUGCAAAAGAAGUAGGUAGCUUAACCUUCGGGAGGGCGCUUACCACUUUGUGAUUCAUGACUGGGGUGAAGUCGUAACAAGGUAACCGUAGGGGAACCUGCGGUUGGAUCACCUCCUU
Molecule: ribosomal RNA, 1541 nt
Filed under: Enterobacter asburiae
Lineage: Bacteria; Pseudomonadati; Pseudomonadota; Gammaproteobacteria; Enterobacterales; Enterobacteriaceae
Description: bacterial SSU rRNA
Rfam family: Bacterial small subunit ribosomal RNA
Source: RNAcentral